AUUUAUUCAUGUAACUAUUUCCUUUAUUUAAGCGUGUUUUCUGUAUAAGUGGUGGACGAGGUGGUGGCGGGGUACAAUAUGCAUGGCAGAAAUCCCUCGGAAACUACAUUGCCACUUCAAGCAAUGACAAUUUAGUAAAGAUUUAUGACAGGCAUGGAGACCUUAAACAAGAAAUACAACUGCAAGGACCGUGUACAGGACUUGGCUGGGAUAAG
Long non-coding RNA from Ruditapes philippinarum (Manila clam), 215 nucleotides. RefSeq lists it as uncharacterized. The record is from RefSeq and is a predicted model, not a curated record. The transcript is spliced from 3 exons. Lineage: Eukaryota; Metazoa; Mollusca; Bivalvia; Venerida; Veneridae.